This is a long non-coding RNA of Catharus ustulatus (Swainson's thrush), 228 nucleotides long. RefSeq lists it as uncharacterized. The transcript is spliced from 3 exons. NCBI's taxonomy places the organism in Eukaryota, Metazoa, Chordata, Aves, Passeriformes, Turdidae. The record is from RefSeq and is a predicted model, not a curated record.
GGGAAAGUGACCAGGGAAGUGGACAGCGUGAAGCAGAAGCCUGCAAGACAGCACUGAGGACAGUACACGUUCCAGGGAGAGGAGCAGAGUUGGGUUUGGCACCCAGUCUGAGAGAGGAGCAAGGUGGACGGCAAUCACAGGGUGUGUCUCAGUAGCACCCUUGUCCCUCAGCCUCAGAGGAAGCAGGAGAGCACGCACGCACCAGGAUGGGUCUGCUGCAGCAGAGGU